GUGGCGAGUGGCGAACGGGUGAGUAAUGCAUCGGAACAUACCUAUUAGUGGGGGAUAGCCCGGCGAAAGCCGGAUUAAUACCGCAUAUGCCUGAGGGUGAAAGCGGGGGACUUUAGGGCCUCGUGCUAGUAGAGUGGCCGAUGUUAGAUUAGGUAGUUGGUUAGGUAAGAGCUGACCAAGCCUACGAUCUAUAGCUGGUCUGAGAGGACGAUCAGCCACACCGGAACUGAGACACGGUCCGG
Molecule: ribosomal RNA, 242 nt
Filed under: uncultured bacterium
Lineage: Bacteria
Description: partial 16S ribosomal RNA
Rfam family: Bacterial small subunit ribosomal RNA
Source: RNAcentral